AAGUCGUAACAAGGUUAACACGUAUCCCCUGUGAACCUUCACCUGUACUCGUACGUCCGUUAGAGUCCGUUAGAAAAAGCAGCAAUCAUCGCCGAACAGUUUUCGAUUCAGGGAUGUCUGCAAGGAGCGUGCAUGUUGUGCGAGCAAGUGGCCUGGCAUCCCCAAGCAGUUAGUGUCUGAAAGUGUCAUUAACUGUGUAAGGAUGACGCAGUCACGAUCGUUGGAGGCCCACACGGCCGACGACCGGGUCACUGGGCGCAAGCCCCCCUAUAACAAACGCUGCUAAUCGCGGCCGCGAUAAUACGCAGUCGACCAAAAACCGAACAACUGUUAACAAUGGAUAUCUUGGUUCUC
RNAcentral lists this unclassified non-coding RNA (354 nucleotides) under fungal sp. Its description in RNAcentral is "partial internal transcribed spacer region". Lineage: Eukaryota; Fungi. The record is from RNAcentral.